Molecule: small nuclear RNA, 96 nt
Filed under: Xenopus laevis (African clawed frog)
Lineage: Eukaryota; Metazoa; Chordata; Amphibia; Anura; Pipidae
Description: U2 spliceosomal RNA
Rfam family: U2 spliceosomal RNA
About the family: U2 is a small nuclear RNA (snRNA) component of the spliceosome (involved in pre-mRNA splicing). Complementary binding between U2 snRNA (in an area lying towards the 5' end but 3' to hairpin I) and the branchpoint sequence (BPS) of the intron results the bulging out of an unpaired adenosine, on the BPS, which initiates a nucleophilic attack at the intronic 5' splice site, thus starting the first of two transesterification reactions that mediate splicing.
Source: Rfam by way of RNAcentral
AUAGCUUCUUGGCCUUUUGGCUAAGAUCAAGUGUAGUAUCUGUUCUUAUUACUGGGUUGUGCAUCCCAGCUAAAGAAUAUAUGUCAGGAACCCCCC